AGAAUCAACGCUGGCGGCGUGCCUAACACAUGCAAGUCGAACGAGAAAGUGGUAGCAAUACCAUGAGUAAAGUGGCGCACGGGUGAGUAACACGUGACUAACCUACCCUGGAGUGGGGGAUAACUGAGGGAAACCUUAGCUAAUACCGCAUAACACCUACGGGUCAAAGGAGCAAUUCGCUUCAGGAGGGGGUCGCGGCAGAUUAGCUAGUUGGCGGGGUAAUGGCCCACCAAGGCAGUGAUCUGUAUCCGGCCUGAGAGGGCGCACGGACACACUGGAACUGAAACACGGUCCAGACUCCUACGGGAGGCAGCAGUGGGGAAUUUUGCGCAAUGGGGGAAACCCUGACGCAGCAACGCCGCGUGGAGGAUGAAGUCCCUCGGGACGUAAACUCCUUUCGAUCGGGACGAUAAUGACGGUACCGAGAGAAGAAGCCCCGGCUAACUUCGCGCCAGCAGCCGC
This 462-nucleotide ribosomal RNA is filed under the name uncultured bacterium. RNAcentral describes it as "SSU rRNA". It matches the Rfam family "Bacterial small subunit ribosomal RNA", at positions 26 to 518 of the family's 1533-position model. The record is from RNAcentral.